GCUACGGGUGGCAGCAGUGGGGAAUAUUGGGCAAUGGGCGCAAGCCUGACCCAGCAACGCCGCGUGAAGGAAGAAGGCUCUCGGGUUGUAAACUUCUUUUAUCAGUGACGAAGCAAGUGACGGUAUCUGAUGAAUAAGCCACGGCUAACUACGUGCCAGCAGCCGAGGUAAUACGUAGGUGGCAAGCGUUAUCCGGAUUUACUGGGUGUAAAGGGGGUGUAGGCGGGGAAGCAAGUCGGAUGUGAAAACCCUGGGCUCAACCUGUGGCCUGCAUUUGAUACUGUGUUUCUUGAGUACUGGAGAGGCAGACGGAAUUCCUAGUGUAGCGGUGAAAUGCGUAGAUAUUAGGAAGAACACCAGUGGCGAAGGCGGUCAGCUGGACAGCAACUGACGCUGAGGCGCGAAAGCAUGGGGAUCAAACAGGAUUAGAUACCCUGGUAGUC
This 443-nucleotide ribosomal RNA is filed under the name uncultured bacterium. Its description in RNAcentral is "partial 16S ribosomal RNA". It matches the Rfam family "Bacterial small subunit ribosomal RNA", at positions 338 to 795 of the family's 1533-position model. The record is from RNAcentral.